This 373-nucleotide unclassified non-coding RNA is filed under the name uncultured Bacteroidota bacterium. RNAcentral's name for it is "uncultured Bacteroidetes bacterium contains 16S-23S intergenic spacer region". The record is from RNAcentral. Lineage: Bacteria; Pseudomonadati; Bacteroidota.
UCGCGGCUUGCGCCGGCAGUUUCACUAGAGUCCCCACCAUAACGUGCUGGUAACUAACCACAGGGGUUGCGCUCGCUGCGCCACUUAAGGCAACACCUCACGGCACGAGCUGACGACAGCCAUGCAGCACCUUCGCGGGCGCCCCGAAGGGAAGCCCCGUUUCGGGGGCGGUCGCCCGUGAUUUAGCCCGGGUAAGGUUCUUCGCGUUGCAUCGAAUUAAGCCACAUGCUCCACCGCUUGUGCGGGCCCCCGUCAAUUCCUUUGAGUUUCAUUCUUGCGAACGUACUCCCCAGGUGGUAUGCUUACUGCGUUAACUGCGUCACUGAACCCGAAGGCCCAACAACUAGCAUACAUCGUUUACAGCGUGGACUAC